Oryza sativa Japonica Group (Japanese rice) is the source of this 626-nucleotide non-coding RNA. The record is from RefSeq and is a predicted model, not a curated record. NCBI's taxonomy places the organism in Eukaryota, Viridiplantae, Streptophyta, Magnoliopsida, Poales, Poaceae.
CUAAAUUGUUCCUGAUGCUUGCCAUGCCUAGUAGUAUAUAUAUGUGAAAGGAUGAGUUUUGGUACAAAGUAGAAUCUCACAUUUGUCACGUAUUAUAUAUACCUCAUUUCUCUCAUUUUGAAACUCAGAUCGACUAUAUUUAUUUGUGUGUGUGUGAUGGGGAGGGGAGUUACUUAUAGAGGCAUUGCAACAAGAAAGGGGAAGCAAAGUACAGUUUAAUUUACUACAGUUAUAAGGAUGGAAUGAAUUCACAUCUUGACAUGUUUUUAUUCAUGGGUGAAAAAUCAGAGCAAAUGAAGAUAUAAAGUCAAAACAGAGUAUGAUCAAAGAAUUUCAGAACAGUGUGCAAAUAUAUGUUAAAAUAUAUGUUAAAAAUAGUGUGCAAAGAUGAAGCCAAAUUAUGUUGUGUAAUCGUAGUAGCAUAAUCGUUCAGAUGCAGAACACACAAUGAUAUGUAUGUACCGUCAAGCAAUUGUUGCUGGGCUAGACAUCAUGGUUAGCAUGGUAGUAUCUCUAGCAAUUGUUGUGUGUAUGUCACUUGCAUAGAAGGUGAUUGCAGAUUACUAAACUAAGGGAGCACAAUGAGUAAUUGACAAGCAGUACUUGCAGCUACGUUUGGCUGCGUA